Long non-coding RNA from Rhipicephalus sanguineus (brown dog tick), 698 nucleotides. RefSeq lists it as uncharacterized. The record is from RefSeq and is a predicted model, not a curated record. NCBI's taxonomy places the organism in Eukaryota, Metazoa, Arthropoda, Arachnida, Ixodida, Ixodidae. The transcript has 2 exons.
UGCAAGUAGGUCCAACUGGACACGUUGGCUUAGCAUGUUCUUAUCCUAAAGUAGGGAAAACGGCGACUAACGUGACAGAAGGACAAAAACAGGACUUUUAGUUUUUUUUGUCUCUCAUUUCUGGCCGCGAUUUUCUGUGCUUUCGCCUUGGAUCACUGUUACUGCUUUAGUUCUAUGCACAGAAACCUUUAUGAAGUCAAAAUUGCGUUUUUUGUGAACACUAUAAUCCGUGUUCUUUGCUGAUAAUCUGUAAAUAAUUUAUUAUUUCUUUUUUCACAGCACUGCCGCACGCAAAGUAUGACCUUCUGUUUGGAGGAUCCAACUGUGCCAUUGUUAAUGUGACCUAUAUUGACGAGUCUGUCGGUACUGUAUCUAAAAAAAGUGGAGACAGCCCAAACAACUGCGUUUUCUUUGUGAAGGACGAGGAGGUUAACAACCCAGAUAGCUGCUGCAGCACAUACUAUAAUGAAAAUUGUAAUAGUGAACAGCAACAAGAGACAUACAAGCCAAAUGAAUGCAAGAACGCCUGAUAAAUAUAUCCACACAGCGUUCCAUAUUUCCCCGAAUAUACAGUAGUAAUAUAAGUAGAGUUUUGAUGUAUCUACCGAACUCUUUAAAACAUGCAAUGUAAUAAUGUUCCAUUUUUUCCUUUGCAAAAAUGGUUUCAAUAAAAGUUGCGCAAGCAAAAAUGUUGGUUA